GACUCCGUAGUUCAGUUGGUAGAGUAAUUGACUCUUAAUCAAUGGGUCGGCAGUUCGAACCUGUCCGGGAUCACCA
This 76-nucleotide transfer RNA is filed under the name Spirosoma rhododendri. RNAcentral's name for it is "Spirosoma sp. CJU-R4 tRNA-Lys". It matches the Rfam family "tRNA". From Rfam's summary of the family: Transfer RNA (tRNA) molecules are approximately 80 nucleotides in length. The record is from RNAcentral. Lineage: Bacteria; Pseudomonadati; Bacteroidota; Cytophagia; Cytophagales; Cytophagaceae.